GAAAGUUAAUUUGAGUUAAUGUUAGAUUGCUAGCUGAUGGGGUAACAAGGUUGGUGUGUUUUAUUGCUUUUCUGUGAUCUGUGCUGGGUGGAUUGCUUGUGAAUUGGGAUGAUGUAGAGAUUUUUUCGUUAGUUACAAUUUUUUAACUGAAAAAUGAAGAUUUGUUUGAAAAUAUGAUUGAUUGUUAGUGUUGUUAUCCUUUAGUUAUUUUUAUUGACUGUAAGCAUUUUUCUCAUUCUCCAUAUAUCAAUUCACUUCAUCUCUGCAGAUGUAAUGGAAGUAUCUGUGUUGCCUUCGAUUUAAUCCACGUUUUUUUUUCUUGAUGUGCAUAUCUGUGUUACGACUAGUACAUUAGCAGGGCUUGAGCAGAUUCUACCUUGGAUGUUGUACCAUAAAGUAAUUGGUGUGACAAGUUUUUUCCUUUUUGUGGAGGGGAAGGCAGCUUCUCCUGAAGUAUCAAAUGUCCUAGAAUCAAUUCCUCCGUAUUUGGAACGAGACAUGGCUGACAGGUUUCUUUUAUAAACCAUGCAAUUAUGAACUUUUUGUGAAGCAAUCCCUCAACAUGGAGAUGGCUAUUGUUAUGGCAAGGGAUUCUAGCAUGGACUGGAUUCUUCAUCUUAAUACAGAUGAAUUAAUACACCCAGCUGGUGCUCGGGAAUAUUCUUUAAGGCAGUUGCUUUGAUGUUCCAGGACAUGUUG
Long non-coding RNA from Glycine soja, 699 nucleotides. RefSeq lists it as uncharacterized. The transcript is spliced from 3 exons. Lineage: Eukaryota; Viridiplantae; Streptophyta; Magnoliopsida; Fabales; Fabaceae. The record is from RefSeq and is a predicted model, not a curated record.